This 974-nucleotide small RNA is filed under the name Drosophila pseudoobscura pseudoobscura. Its description in RNAcentral is "GA31843". Lineage: Eukaryota; Metazoa; Arthropoda; Insecta; Diptera; Drosophilidae. The record is from RNAcentral.
GUUCAUACUGCAGUCAGAACUCCAAGUGAUUGUUGUGAAAGGCUCUCGAGGCAUUCGAGUGACUCAGCUAAAACUCACUAAGGCUGGAGUCCCCUCUGAUCAAAUACGGCAGAUAGGUCGUGGCAUUGAUGAAGACAUCCAUCACCAGCACCCGGUCGCAUAUCCGCAGAGAAAGUUGCCAAUAGGAAGGGCCUGGCAAAUUUACGGAGCAGAAAAUGAUUCUCUGGUGCUCGAUGGCUCGAUGGGGUAGAUCUUCCCAUAAGAUUCGGGCUUAAAUCGAUUGAAUCGAUCGCUGGCUAGGUCAAGGAGUGGUAAAUCGAAGAGGCAGGCUCCCAACUUGUCCAUGAGCCGCCCGGAAUACGACAGUAAAGAGCACUGAGGUUACCCUAAACCGUGGAGUGUGGGGUAUCUGAAGUACCAUAAAAAGGCGCUUGUUGUGGGACAUCUACCUCGCCCAGAUGUGUUGGACUGCACCGAAAGCCACACCAUGUAAUCUUUGGAGUAAAAAUGUUCAUCGCCAAAGCUUCUAAGGACUAGGCAACUCAGUUGAAGUUCUCGAUUAGGUACCUAGUGAAAUACAGAGAGAACUGUGGGCUGAGCAGUCGUAAGGUGACCACGAGGACCAUCGGCAGGGCGACAAUCCGGUGGAGCUACCUGAUGGUAGUACCUGCCAAUGUAGUAGCGGUGGCUUGGACAUAAGGAAUCUCUUUAUCCAGCGGAAACCUUUUUCAAACUCUGGGAAAUGCAAUCCACUUCCAGCAAAGUGAUACCUUUGCAACAGAUCGAGAAAACACCAAAAUCCUUGUAGAAAUCAUUGGAAAACUCCUUUCAAAAAUAGUUUUGUAAUGUUUUUGUCUCCUUCGAGGGUCGAAGCUCCCAUGCGGCACUGUCCAAACAACUGAUGCCGCGCUUGGUAGUCAGACCACUAAUGAAAGUAAUUAACACAUUAAUAAAUGAAUGGAACACCAAGUCAA